AUGCACGCUGGCGGCGUGCCUAAUCCCUGCCAGUCGAGCGAACAGACGAGGAGCUUGCUCCUCUGACGUUAGCGGCGGACGGGUGAGUAACACGUGGAUAACCUACCUAUAAGACUGGGAUAACUUCGGGAAACCGGAGCUAAUACCGGAUAACAUGUUGAACCGCAUGGUUCAACAGUGAAAGACGGUCUUGCUGUCACUUAUAGAUGGAUCCGCGCCGCAUUAGUUAGUUGGUAAGGUAACGGCUUACCAAGGCAACGAUGCGUAGCCGACCUGAGAGGGUGAUCGGCCACACUGGAACUGAGACACGGUCCAGACUCCUACGGGAGGCAGCAGUAGGGAAUCUUCCGCAAUGGGCGAAAGCCUGACGGAGCAACGCCGCGUGAGUGAUGAAGGUCUUCGGAUCGUAAAACUCUGUUAUUAGGGAAGAACAAAUGUGUAAGUAACUAUGCACGUCUUGACGGUACCUAAUCAGAAAGCCACGGCUAACUACGUG
Molecule: ribosomal RNA, 496 nt
Filed under: uncultured bacterium
Lineage: Bacteria
Description: partial 16S ribosomal RNA
Rfam family: Bacterial small subunit ribosomal RNA
Source: RNAcentral